Molecule: long non-coding RNA, 9226 nt
Filed under: Malus domestica (apple)
Lineage: Eukaryota; Viridiplantae; Streptophyta; Magnoliopsida; Rosales; Rosaceae
Description: long non-coding RNA (MDOM_LNC016369)
Source: RNAcentral
GAAUCCUCGAGUAAGGAUCCUUUCUGUUCACAAUCAGUGCAGACCUUUUGUUUGGGUUUAAACUUAAACUUUGGGCUCAAAAGGGAGUUGGCCCAAAAAGAGGAGAGAAGCCCGAAGUCCAGCCUAAGCCCAGAAGGCAGAAAAGGCUUUUCCUGACUAGGUGCAGAGCAUUUGCACCACUUGCUCACCUGCUUAGAGACCAAGUGGUAUAGACCAGCCAGCUAAUCAGCCCAAAAGUACUUUACAGUGGCAGUACAAGUAGAUAGCUCAUGAGUCAUUACCCUUCAAGCUGCAUUCGGGCAAGAUUAUUGCUACAGAAGGCCAAACCGAAGUGUCUAUAAAAGAAGAAAGAGAAAUCAGAGAUAAGGACACUCAAUCAAACAAACAAAUACAAGCACAAACUCUGCUCAAAGCCAGAUUUGCCUUCAAACGAAGCUGUAGUCAGCCCAAGCCUUCAUCCCUUUCGGGAAACCCUUACCAAAAGCCUUUGUAAUAGCUCUGCUACCUUGUCCUAAGCUUGCUGUAGUAUCAAUUUUUUUUCUGUAAACUCAUCUCCCUACCCCCAUUUCUAAAAGCUCGCAAACCAUUUGAUAAACCACAAAGAUAGGAAGUUGCAAGACGAUCAGCCUUACCCGACAAGGUUAAACCUUGCCCGACCUUUUUUGCUUUUGUCUUUUCAUUCAUUGGCCUAGCAAUAUGUUGUAUACUUCAAGUUGUAUUCAAGUUAUUUCUAGUAAGAUGAUUAUUAAAAGACUCUCUCAGCUCUUGAAUCCGAUUUGAAUAUGUCUUCAUAGUUCAAACCAGAUCUAAGUUCUAAGCUCUCGGGCAUGUAAGAUUGAUCAUUUAAAAGUCCUUGGCCUCAAGGCAUAAAAAAGAACGUUAUGUGGAUUUAACCCAUCCAUGACAAGCUUUGAUAACAAGAAGUUCGAAGUUACUUGGGGCGCAAGUAAUCAAUCUAUUUCUUAUUUUAUUUCUAUUAUAUUAUGAUUAUAGUAAAACGUUUGAGUAUAGAAGGGAUUUUGAUGGGAAGCCUCAAGGCCUAUAUCUAAGGCCCUGCAAAGGCACCUAUUUGGAUUCAUUCUGCUCUGCGGGCUCGAAUAAUCAGAAGUAUAAUGGUUAUAACACUUCUGCAGACAACAAAACAGACAUCGUAUAUUCGAGUACUGGGUUAGUUCUUGAUCGGAAGCCUUAAGGCCUACACCUAAGGCCUCACAAAGGCACCGGUCAUAACUAACAUGGUCUCUCGGGUAUAUGUGCAACUAAAAUUCAACAUCCAUUUUACAUCUUCCAUGCUAAAGAUGGCAGUGGCACGCUUGAGCACUUAAAAGUUAAUUUUGGUGUGAGCCUCAAGGCCUACACCUAAGGAACCACAAAGGCACCUUUCAAAGUUAACUUUGUCCUUCUCUUUCAGCCUUGCCCGACUAGCCUUGCCCGACAAGCCCGCUAGUGAAGCAGAAGCCCGACAGAAAGCAUCUAUCAGCACCAACCUCUCGGGGAGCUGUGUGCUCGUCAGCUAGGAAACAUCCCCGACCGAAAUUCUAGCGGCCAAACAUAGUUUUGGCACGCCCAGUGAGACACAUUUGAUCAAAAGAGAUAUGUCAAAACGAUCAGAAGAUUUGCAAACUGAUUUGUUGCAAAUGCUACAAAGACUGGAGAACGCCUCUGCAGGCUCCAGAAAGAAAGCUGACCCGGUUAUAAGACCAAUUAUUCCUAUAUCUUUACCUCAGCUUGGGGAAAAAAGAUGAUAGGGAGAAAAGGGGAUUUAAAACCAACCAGCCAGUGGGAGCAGUGAUGGAUAAACCUACGGAUCCCUUCUCAGAGGCCCCAAUACAUAUGAUCAGUAUGGCCUGGGCUGAGAAGGGGAAAGAAAAGGUCACAAGGGAAGAAGAAAGAAGAUUGGUUGACAAACCCACAAAAAGGGUGGUCAACUUGCCUGAAUAACCAAGAGCAGCCAUAAUCAAAGGGAUGGUUAUGUGCAGUAAGUGCCAAUGCGAGUGUGAGCUCGAAAUACCGCCCACAGGAGCCCUCAUAGAUCAUGAACUGAUCAGGAGGAAUGAAGAAGAAAAAAGAAAAGAGGCACAUGAGAGAGCUAGGCGGACUGCAGGAAGGGAUACCUCCCGAAGUGUUUUUCAGCGGUUAGGAAGCGAUUCCCAACCUAGGGCUUUAUCAAAGAUAUUUCGCAAUCAUGAAGUGCCUAAGGAGGCAGAAGAUAAAGAUGCCAAGAAGCCGAAAGAGAGGGGUGUAGAGCACUCUCAGUACGGCCAUAUGGGAAGAGAGGUCAGGAGGAAUGAUAGGAUAACAAAUCCUGUCAAAAAAGAUAACCCUGCCCACAUCGGGUGAAAAUGGUACGUGGUUGGGAAAAAUGGACAGCCCGUUAAACAAAUGGGAGCCUCCAUGGUCAGAAGGGUUCAAAGGCAACAAAAAGCCUACAUGAACUCCUUAAAAACCCUUGCGACGUCGCAAGCACCCAAGAAUCAAAAGUUGGAGAAAACGUCAUCUGGGGGGAGUAGUCAACUCCGCUGGAGGAGUAAAAAAGAGGUGGAAAAGGCUAAUAGCAAGACUGAAGGCGAGGGAAACCAUGUGCCACAAAGCCUACACCCUGGGAAAUAUAGGAUCUUGAGGAAAGCUUAAGAAGAUAUGAUCAUGGUGUCAACUCCCGGAUGGAAGACAGAGCAGCCUAUUUGUUUUGGAACUGUUUCACUUUUAAUAAAACCACCUUCUCUAUCAUUAGUGGAUCUUUUCGGGGAAGUUCCAAAGCAAACACCGUAUUCAGGCGUGAAUCAACAAGAGGGGGCACCAGAACCACUGCUUCCAGCAGAUGCGAUGGCUUGGUUAGAUGAGUUCAUGGACCAGAUUGGGAGCAAGAAAGAAGAACUACCAGAGCCUAGCAAUUUUCAUAUCAACAUGGCGUAUGUGCUAUCCGCCAUGUUUGGUGCCAGACCUAAUCAGCCCGCCACUAUGGAAGGAGACUACGUAACAACUGAGCCAAUGAUGGCCCAUGUCAAUGUGGAGAUAGCUGAAGAGGGAAAAUCGGGAAAAGCUGAAUCAUCUGAAGCAUCCAAGGAUGGUCCUUUAAGGAUCUAUACAAACAAGAUGGUGUUCAGCCGCCCGAACAUUUCGCUUACCAAUCAUCUGAAGCCCAUAUAUGUUACAGCUCAUUUGGAGGGGGUGCCCUUCAAAAGGAUUUUAAUUGAUGGAGGAGCAGCUGUUAAUGUACUACCAACCAAGCAAAUGAAAAAGUUGAGGAGAGGCACAGAGGAUCUUAUUCCUACAGACCUCACGGUUUCUAGCUUCUCGGGCGUUAUCACCAAGACUUAUGGGAUAUUGCCUUUAGAAGUGGAUUUGGGGUCUAAACAGAUCAUGCUGGCAUUCUUUGUGGUGGACUGCACUUCCACCUAUGGAGCCUUACUCGGAAGAGAUUGGAUCCACCAAAGUCUUGCCAUACCCUCCACUCUACAUCAAUAAGUGGUUGUUUAUCAUGAGGCUGACGCAGAAUGACCAGGCUUUUGGGAGAUGGUAGAGGCCGAAUCACGGCCAUUUCUUCCCACAGCCAAUGUUGCUGAAGCGAGUUUCUACAGUCCUAACGUAGGAAUUUUGAAAUGUUCAGGAGCAGAUGAGAACGGCCGCCCUACCAAGGUGACGGCCCAAAAGCUUCUAGAACAAGGAAUGCUCCUUACUAGAGAGGAGUGGGAUAGACCUUGUAUCAUCCCAACACCCCUACACCAUCAAUGACAGAACAAAAGAGGAAGGAUCAGGUAAUGGCAGUCAGGUCCCUGAUCAAAAGACUGUUGGUGUAUGGGAAAGGAAGAAGGCAAGAAAGGGAGCUCUUAGACAGAGAAGAGCAGGAAUGGCAGGUAGGAGCUUUGACCAGCCAGGAUGAAAGCAAGGAGGAAUCUUGUCAAGAAGAAUUGGAAAGGGCCAUUCAAAUGGCCGAGUGCAUAUAUGACCUAGAUGGGCCAGACGACCUGCCCGAGAGCCCGGAGCUAGUCGAAUUUUUGUGUGCAGAACCUGAUAAGCCACCACCAGAGGUAUAAGAUCCUCUGGAAGUUAUUGAUCUAGGGACAGAGGAAGAUCCAAGACCAAUACAAAUUAGUGGUUUAUUGGAGAUUGAUGAUCGGGUAAAAAUUAUCUGUCUUUUGCAAGAAUUCAAAGAUUGUUUUGCAUGGCAUUAUACUGAGAUGCUAGGUUUAGAUGCAACCUUAGUGGAACACAGAAUGCCCAUCAAUGAGGGAUAUAAACCUGUUAAGCAAGCACCACGAAGGAUGUCGAAGGAGAUAGAAGAGAAGGUCAAAGAAGAGAUUGAGAGGCUAGUAAAAGCUGGAUUUAUCAGGCUAGCCAAAUAUGUGGAGUGGUUAGCCAACAUUGUACCCGUUUUAAAGGCCAUAAGAAAAGCAGUACGAUGUUGUGUUGAUUACAAAAAUAUUAAUGGCGCUACACCGAAAGAUGAGUAUCCCAUGCCCAUGGCAGAUCUAUCCAUAGAUGCAGUAGCAAAGCACAAAGUCUUAUCUUUUAUGGAUGGAAAUGUCAGGUAUAAUCAGAUAAAGAUGGCUCCAGAGGAUAUACAUAAAAUAGCUUUUAAGUGUCCGGGGCAUGUGGGGGCAUAUGAAUAUCUGGUCAUGCUAUUCGGGCUCAAGAAUGCUAGUGUGACCUACCAAAGGGCAAUGAAUGCCAUCUUUCAUGAUCUGAUUGGCCAUAAUAUAGAGGUGUAUAUUGAUGACAUCAUGGUGAAAUCUAAGACAGAAGAGCAGCAUCUGAUAGACCUCAAGCAAGCAUCGACAAGAAUGAAGAUCCACAAAUUGAAUAUGAAUCCAAAGAAGUGCGCGUUUGGAGUGAGAACGGGCAACUUCUUGGGAUUCCUGGUUCAUCAAAGAGGUGUAGAAGUGGAUAAGAACAAAUCGCGGGCAAUAAUGGAGUCGCCUUCACCCACCAACAAGGUGCAACUCCAAAGGCUGCUAGGCAAAAUUAAUUUCUUGAAAAGAUUCAUUGCCAAUUUAGCGGGCAAGAUCCAGCUGCUAACUCAUUUGCUAAGACUGAAGGAUAAGGAGAAUUUCGAGUGGGGACCACCACACCAAAAGGCUUUCGAUAGUAUCAAAGCUUAUUUGACUUCUCCGCCAGUGUUGGUACCACCUCAAAAGGGAAAACCCUUAAGGCUAUAUAUCUCCGCUUCAGAUAAAUCAAUUGGGAGUUUGCUAGCUCAAAAUAAUGAAGGCGGGAAAGAGCAGGCAGUGUACUACCUCAGUAGAAUUCUGACCGAGGUAGAAACAAGAUAUUCCCCAGUAGAGAGAUUGUGCUUAGCUCUAUAUUUUACUGCCAAUAAGCUGAGGCAUUACAUGUUACCUUGUCACGUGCACAUUAUCGCCAAGACAGAUGUGAUAAAGUACAUGUUAUCAAAGCCAAUGCUAACAGGAAGGAUUGGGAAAUGGAUUCAAGCAUUAUCAGAAUUCAGCUUUCAAUAUGUACCCCAAAGGGUAGUCAAAGGCCAAGCAAUUGCUGACUUCUUGGCGGAGCAUCAAGAGUCUCAAGAUGAGAUAAUCAAUAUCCCGGGAACCCUGGAAGUUACUAGUGUUUGGAUCCCACCAAGCAAAGGUAUCUCGGGCAAAGAGGAGUGGGUCUAGCAAGAGAUAAAAAGAGUGGCUGGUCUAUAGAUUACUCAUUGGAAGCUAUAUUUUGAUGGUUUCUACACUCAUAAGGCUUCAGGAGCUGGGAUUGUAAUUAUCAACCCUCAAAGGGUUUAUCAUUAUUACUCAUUUCUCUUAGAUUACCAAGGGAAUACCAAUAAUCGGGCAGAGUAUGAGGCCUUAAUAAUCGGUUUGGAAAUCUUGAUGGAUCAGGGGGCAAUGGAGGUAGAGGUGUUUGGUGAUUCAGAAUUGGUAAUAAACCAGCUAAAUGGGGAAUUCAAGUGCAGACAUAUCACCAUGGCCGGGUAUUACUUGGCGGCCACGCAAUUGCUGAGUUAUUGGGAUUCUGAGAUAUCAGUUAGUCAUGUUCCCAGAGGAUCCAACCUAGCGGCCAACGAGAUGGCACAAUUAACUUCAAGCAUGCUAAUACAGGAAAGAAAAUAUGGGUUGGAUGUCGAGAUUCAAAGAAGAAACCUUUCUUCUAUCCUGGAAAAAGGAUUUAGUCUGGAUGUAAUGGUUCUAGAAACGGAGAUGGAAGAUUGGAGGUCGCCCAUUAUUCAUUAUUUAAGGGAUCCCUAUUCACCCACAAGCAAGAAGGAUAAACAGCAAGCAACUAAGUAUGUCUUAUGGGCGAAGGACCUGCUAAGGAAAACUCCAGACGGAUUAUUAUUGAAAUGCUUAGGCCAAGAGGAAUCUAUGAGAGUAAUGGCCGAAGUACAUGAAGGAAUUUACGAAGCACAUCAGGCUAGAACGAAGAUGAGGUGGUUGCUUAGAAGGUAUGGUUAUUUCUGGCCCAAUAUGGAAAAAGAUUGCAAGUCUUAUGCCCGAGGCUGUGAAGAAUGUCAGAGCAUGGUCAUCUCCAGCAUGUGCCCUCAGUGCCUUUAAAUCCAGUGGUCAAGCCUUGGCCCUUCAGAGGAUGGGCAAUGGAUUUCAUCGGGUAGAUCUAUCUGGCUUCUAGCAAGGGGCAUACUUUCAUGAUUGUAGCAACGGAUUACUUCACCAAAUGGGUAGAGGCCUCGGCUGUAAAAUCCAUAACCUCAGCUGCAGUCAAAAUUUUUAUUGAGACUAAGAUUCUGUAUAGAUUUGGGGUGCCUGAAACCAUAGUAACGGAUCGAGGGCCAUCUUUUAUUUCAAAAGAAGUUGAAGAGUUUGCAAGCAAAUACAAAAUAAAGAUGAUCCAGUCCAGUCCUUACUACCCGCAGUCAAAUGGCCAGGAAGAAUCCAGCAACAAGAUUUUGGUAAACAUUAUCAAAAGAAUGGUGAUAGAUAGUCAAGAAAAGUGGCAUGAAAAGCUGGGGAAUACUUUGUGGGCAUACAGAACUUCCAAGAGGGUAGGAACAGGGACAACGCCUUAUGCGUUAACCUUCGGGCAAGAUGCAGUGCUUCCCAUGGAGAUCAAUGUAAGUUCUGUCAGAAUUCAAAAUCAGUUUGGGUUACACAGUGAAGAGUAUAUCGAAGCCAUGUGUCAAGGGAUUGAAGACUUAGAUGUAGCCCGAAUUGAAGCCUUGAACCAGAUUCAGGAAGGGAAGAAAGCUGUUGCCUGAGCUUAUAACAAAAAGGUGAAGAUAAAGUCUUUCAAUGAAGGAGAUUUGGUGUGGAAAAUAGUCCUUCCUCUAGGAGCUCAGCUUAGGGGCUUUGGAAAAUGGAGCCCGACAUGGGAAGGCCCUUUCAUGAUUAGACAAAGGAGGAUACUACUUGGCGGACCUCGAAGGGAAUUGGCAGAAACAUCCCAUUAAUGUUAAAUUCUUGAAAAAGUAUUGUCCUACGUUAUGGGAUGUUAGAGAUUGUUAUAUUGAAGAAGACACAAAGUAAUGUUUAUUUCAUUUCGACAAAUUGGUGAAAUUUACAACAGAUUCAAUUCUGAUGUGCUACGUUCGAUUCCUUCCAAGUGCAAUGGUGUCUCAGCUGGUUUUCCGAUAUCUUCAUGGAUAGAAUCCGAUCAGGUGAUCGGGUUGUGCCGCCAAGAUGAGCUUGGUAGAGGAUCCUCAGGCAGAGUCAUCACUAUACAUGAUGGUGAAGCCUGACUUACCAUAACAGCAAGCAGGAAGACCAGCCUUUAUGAGGAAACCGCCUGACUAAGGGUGUUGGGGAUAGCGGGGUGUUUGACCAAAUGUGUUGGAGAUAGUAGUUAUCUGAUAAAAACUCUUUUUCUUACGAAAAUGGAGUUUUAGAAAACCCCACUUGAAUCCUGAAGAGCUCAUUUUACAGUUUUGGGAAGAAUACUAAGGAAGCAGAAGUACUCAAGGUUAAUAAAAGCGAAGGCUGAAGUAGGUUUGUUGGCUGAACAGAAGCAAUUUCAAGCCUGAAUUUAUAGAAACCACAGAGGAUAGCCCAAAGGUCAUGAGAAGAGCAAGAGACGCAGAAUUGUAGUCAUCCUGUCUAGAAAACACAAGUUCCAAAAGUAGGUAUACAAGCAUGCGGAUAUUCAAUCAAUAUUGGCGCCUGGAAUUCCAGUCUGAAUAUUGAUUGAAGGGGGCACUGUUUGGGUUUAAACUUAAACUUUGGGCUCAAAAGGGAGUUGGCCCAAAAAGAGGAGAGAAGCUCGAAGUCCAGCCCAAGCCCAGAAGGCAGAAAAGGCUUUUCCCGACUAGGUGCAGAGCAUUUACACCACUUGCUCACCUGCUUAGAGACCAAGUGGUAUAGACCAGCCAGCUAAUAAACCCAAAAGUACUUUACAGUGGCAGUACAAGUAAAUAGCUGAUGAGUCAUUACCCUUCAAGCUGCAUUCGGGCAAGAUUAUUGCUACAGGAGGCCAAACCGAAGUGUCUAUAAAAGAAAGAGAAAUCAGAGAUAAGGACAUUCAAUCAAACAAACAAAUUCAAGCACAAACUCUGCUCAAAGCCAGAUUUGCCUUCAAACGAAGUUGUAGUCAGCCCAAACCUUCAUCCCUUUCGGGAAACCCUUACCAAAAGCCUUUGUAAUAGCUCUGGUACCUUGUCCUAAGCUUGCUAUAGUAUCGAUUUCUUUCUGUAAACUCAUCUCCCUACCCCCUUUUCUAAAAGCUCUCAAACCCCUUGAUAAACCACAAAGAUAGGAAGUUGUAAGACGAUCAGCCUUGCCCGACAAGGUUAAACCUUGCCCAACCCUUUUUAUUUUUGUGUUUUCAUUCAUUAGCCUAGCAAUAUGUUGUAUACUUCAAGUUGUAUUCAAGUUAUUUCUAGUAAGAUGACUAUUAAAAGACUCUCAGCUCUUGAAUCCAAUUUGAAUAUGUCUUCAUAGUUUAAACCAGAUCUAAGUUCUAUGCUCUCAGGCAUGUAAGAUUGAUCAUUUAAAAGUCCUUAGCCUCAAGGCAUAAAAAAUAACCUUAUGUGGACUUAACCCAUCCACGACAAGCUUUGAUAACAAGAAGUCCGAAGUUACUUGGGGCGCAAGUAAUCGAUCUAUUUCUUAGUUUUAUUUCUAUUAUAUUAUGAUUAUAGUAGAACGUUUGAGUAUAGAAGGGAUUCUGAUGGGAAGCCUCAAGGCCUAUAUCUAAGUCCCUACAAAGGCACCUAUUUGGGUUCAUUCUGCUCUGCGGGCUCGAAUAAUCAGAAGUAUAAUGGUUAUAACACUUCUGCAGACAACAAAACAGACAUCGUAUAUUCGAGUACUGGGUUAGUUCUUGAUCG